Molecule: long non-coding RNA, 846 nt
Filed under: Gallus gallus (chicken)
Lineage: Eukaryota; Metazoa; Chordata; Aves; Galliformes; Phasianidae
Description: long non-coding RNA NONGGAT003692
Source: RNAcentral
CCUAUCCAUUGGCAUCCUCCAUGUUCAAGCCAACUGGAGGCUCUUGGUGGGGUUAAGCCCUACCUCUCUCAGCAUUUUGGGCAACAUCAUGCUCAAAGAACAGACUACAAAGACUUUGAUACCGUGACUGGAGCAGUGCUUGAGGAGCUUUGUACGCAGCCAGGUUGUUUUCACAGAAAGAAUCGUGUGAAGCAAGUGGCAAGAGACAUGCAGUGAGAAGAGAAAAAUGCUUCUGAUGGUCCCAGUACUGAGAAUAUGCUGUGCAACUCGCACACACUCAACCGCAGAUCUUAUCAGGCUGGUCUGUUUCCACUGAGAGGUGUCUGCUGUUCCCCUCUAUCAGCGAUGCACAGGCAACAGUUGUGGAGAUUAUAAACUUCUUUAUUUUGGUAAGUAAUCUCCAGAUCUCUGCACAGCAAAAGGUCACGUAUUCUUGCCUUCUUAAUAAGAAGCACGGCCGCAAAUGUUACCGUGCAACUGAAGCUGAGAAACACACUGCUCAAAUGGGAGGCUACAAUGAGGACUAUGGAUGUCCCAGCGGCAACAGAAGCUGUUUUCUUUCCAAGGAUGGGUCAUGGAAAAAUCCAUCUGCUCCAAUCUGGGUAUCUGCAAGGGCUUGUGACUUUCUGUGCACCAGAGUCAUCUCAAGUGCUCAGUAUGGUCAGUGCCGAGGAAUAGAUACUGCAAUUUGAUUUAGGCCUGAUGGAGUCUUCUCCUUCUGUAGUCAUUCCUGUCCAGCCAUUGUGGGCAUUUGUAAACAGAGCUGACACGAGAACACGCUAAAAUGAAAGCAGAAAUGCAGCACUGGCAACUGCAAAACUCUUUUCCUUAACUCCAUUCUCAGAA